ACCGACUCCUCAUCGCUUAGUUGAUUUGAUAUAUUAUAUAUAUAUGUGCGAGAAUAUUAUCGAACGCUAAUCCGUAGGCAAGCAGAAAAUUAAUAUUCUAUGUAAAGCCAUUAAAAUGCUGCUUUUUUAAAGGAUCGAGCUGUAACCAAUUAUUUUAGGGUGAGUUGAAAACUAGUGAUUAAUUUAUUAA
This is a long non-coding RNA of Rhagoletis pomonella (apple maggot), 190 nucleotides long. RefSeq lists it as uncharacterized. The record is from RefSeq and is a predicted model, not a curated record. NCBI's taxonomy places the organism in Eukaryota, Metazoa, Arthropoda, Insecta, Diptera, Tephritidae. The transcript has 3 exons.